This 70-nucleotide transfer RNA is filed under the name Dipodomys ordii (Ord's kangaroo rat). It matches the Rfam family "tRNA". Rfam says of the family: Transfer RNA (tRNA) molecules are approximately 80 nucleotides in length. Their secondary structure includes four short double-helical elements and three loops (D, anti-codon, and T loops). The record is from Rfam by way of RNAcentral. Lineage: Eukaryota; Metazoa; Chordata; Mammalia; Rodentia; Heteromyidae.
GGGAAUGUGGCUUAGUGGUAGAGUGCUUGCCUAGCAUGCAUGAAGGCCUAGGUUCAAUUCCUCAGUACCA